Mercurialis annua (annual mercury) is the source of this 321-nucleotide long non-coding RNA. RefSeq lists it as uncharacterized. The transcript has 2 exons. The record is from RefSeq and is a predicted model, not a curated record. Lineage: Eukaryota; Viridiplantae; Streptophyta; Magnoliopsida; Malpighiales; Euphorbiaceae.
GCUCCUUGGGGAAAACACCUGCAGUUUUGGUGAGAGCAGCCAUUGCUGUGUUUAUUGCUGCAACCUGCAAGGGACAUCAUGGAAACUACAUUACAAUCAGAAACUGUGAGCAUGAUGAUAGAAUUCAGUAAAACAAGGUAGCAAAAACUCGCAGCAGAGAUAGAAGCUAUGCUCAAGCAUGUGGACAAGAACACCAUACCAGAACUAUGUUUUGCAGACAAUGUAGAAAAUCUACUUGCACCUCAUCUCCCAGCAAACGUAGAAAAAUAAAACUAGUGUGACUUCAAUGAAAGGCUAAAUUAUAGACCUCAGUAUUCUUGA